This 774-nucleotide long non-coding RNA is filed under the name Androctonus crassicauda. The record is from RNAcentral. Lineage: Eukaryota; Metazoa; Arthropoda; Arachnida; Scorpiones; Buthidae.
UAUUAUUUAAAAAAAUUAAAAAUAAAUAAAAAUUUCCAUAUAAAGUAAAUAUUCAAUAGGCAUUAAAGUGAAACCGAACGCAAUAAAACAAGAGAAAGUCAUUACACUUCCUUUUAGCUACAGACCAAUGAACUUGCAGCUGUUAUGUCAGAAGAGCGGCCUACUUUGCACGUCCUUGAAUGACGAUAGCGCAAAGUCUUCCCCCUUCCAGUUCGAUUCACCUUUGGAACUUUGCCAAUAUAUAAAGGCAUACAAACUGCAGCAAAUGAUUCAAACAACUUUUUUUUUCGGCUUCAGUCCAAUAAGUUGUUGCGUCCGGCUUUGUGUGUCAAUCAAAUAUUUAUUAUGUCGGUAACCAGAUUGUUUCGUUCGUGUUUAUAUUAUUUGUUGUGUUAAGAAAUAUUUUACAGAAUCAUCGUAUUUUUCCCUAUGCAUAUAAUGAUUGACAGUAUAUCAUAGAUCAAUUUAGGUCAAUGAAACACCACGGAAGUUUUUAAAACAAUAGUUAUAUUUUUAAUAUGAAAAACAAAACAAGACAAAAAUAUAUAAUUAUUUAAUUCUUUGAAAGAAUUAAGUGAUUUUAAUAAUUAUUAAAAUCAUUUAAUUCAUUACAUACACUUCCUUAGAUGUAGGAAGAGUUUACAGUCUGUCAAAUAAGUAGAAGGACAGAAGAAAAGUUUUCACAAGGGAUACAGAAAAGAAUUUUUAUCCAUGAAAAGUUUCAUGAAGAUGUGAAGGGAUGAAUAUAAAAAUAUGACAAUUGAAAAUAAUUAC